This 337-nucleotide unclassified non-coding RNA is filed under the name uncultured fungus. RNAcentral describes it as "partial contains 5.8S ribosomal RNA and internal transcribed spacer 2". The stretch from base 3 to 133 matches the Rfam family "5.8S ribosomal RNA", at positions 24 to 154 of the family's 154-position model. The record is from RNAcentral. Lineage: Eukaryota; Fungi.
UAGUUCUGGCAUCGAUGAAGAACGCAGCGAAAUGCGAUAAGUAAUGUGAAUUGCAGAAUUCCGUGAAUCAUCGAAUCUUUGAACGCAUAUUGCGCCCGCCAGUAUUCUGGCGGGCAUGCCUGUUCGAGCGUUAUUUUAACCCUCAAGCCCCUGGGCUUGGUGUUGGGGCUCGGCCCGUCCCUAGCGGCGGCGCCGUCCCCUAAAUUUAUUGGCGGUCUCGCUGCAGCCUCCUCUGCGUAGUAGCUAAUACCUCGCAACGGGAACUCAGCGCGGCCACGCCGUUAAACCCCCCAACUUCUGAAAGGUUGACCUCGGAUCAGGUAGGAAUACCCGCUGA